RNAcentral lists this ribosomal RNA (468 nucleotides) under uncultured bacterium. RNAcentral's name for it is "partial 16S ribosomal RNA". It matches the Rfam family "Bacterial small subunit ribosomal RNA", at positions 28 to 507 of the family's 1533-position model. The record is from RNAcentral.
GACGAACGCUGGCGGCGUGCUUAACACAUGCAAGUCGAACGGAAAGACCCUGCUUUUGUGGGGUGCUCGAUUGGCGAACGGGUGAGUAACACGUGAGUAACCUGCCCUUGACUUUGGGAUAACUUCAGGAAACUGGGGCUAAUACCGGAUAGGAGCUCCUGCUGCAUGGUGGGGGUUGGAAAGUUUCGGCGGUUGGGUAUGGACUCGCGGCUUAUCAGCUUGUUGGUGGGGUAGUGGCUUACCAAGGCUUUGACGGGUAGCCGGCCUGAGAGGGUGACCGGCCACAUUGGGACUGAGAGACGGACCAGAAUCCUACGGGAGGCAGCAGUGGAGAAUAUUGCACAAUGGGCGGAAGCCUGAUGCAGAAACGCCGCGUGCGGGAUGCCGGCCUUCGGGUUGUAAACAGCUUUCGACUGUGACGAAGCGUGAGUGACGGUAAUGGGUAAAGAAGCACCGGCUAACUACGUG